CCCUGAUAGUUCAGUUGGUAAAGAAUCUGCCUGCAAUGCAGGAGACCCUGGUUUGAUUCCUGGAUCGGGAA
This 71-nucleotide transfer RNA is filed under the name Ovis aries (sheep). It matches the Rfam family "tRNA". From Rfam's summary of the family: Transfer RNA (tRNA) molecules are approximately 80 nucleotides in length. Their secondary structure includes four short double-helical elements and three loops (D, anti-codon, and T loops). Lineage: Eukaryota; Metazoa; Chordata; Mammalia; Artiodactyla; Bovidae. The record is from Rfam by way of RNAcentral.